This 396-nucleotide ribosomal RNA is filed under the name uncultured bacterium. RNAcentral's name for it is "partial 16S ribosomal RNA". It matches the Rfam family "Bacterial small subunit ribosomal RNA", at positions 523 to 917 of the family's 1533-position model. The record is from RNAcentral.
CUACGUAGGUGGCAAGCGUUGUCCGGAUUUAUUGGGCGUAAAGCGAGCGCAGGCGGUUUCUUAAGUCUGAUGUGAAAGCCCCCGGCUUAACCGGGGAGGGUCAUUGGAAACUGGGAGACUUGAGUGCAGAAGAGGAGAGUGGAAUUCCAUGUGUAGCGGUGAAAUGCGUAGAUAUAUGGAGGAACACCAGUGGCGAAGGCGACUCUCUGGUCUGUAACUGACUCUGAGGCUCGAAAGCGUGGGGAGCAAACAGGAUUAGAUACCCGGGUAGUCCACGCCGUAAACGAUGAGUGCUAAGUGUUGGAGGGUUUCCGCUCUUCAGUGCUUCAGCUAACGCAUUAAGCACUCCGCCUGGGGAGUACGGCCGCAAGGGUGAAACUCAAAUGAAUUUACGGG